UGGAGUGGUUUAAAGUGAAGAAAAAUAGGCCAGUGAAAGAUUGCAAAUAAAUGCAGACUUGGGAACUAAAGAUGCCAUUUCAUGAGUGGAAUAUUUGUGUGUGUGUGUGUGUGUGUGUGUGUGUGUGUUAGCUAAAGGUUUUGGCAUUUCCUUCCAA
Non-coding RNA from Podarcis lilfordi (Lilford's wall lizard), 157 nucleotides. Lineage: Eukaryota; Metazoa; Chordata; Lepidosauria; Squamata; Lacertidae. The record is from the annotation of a GenBank genome assembly.